RNAcentral lists this ribosomal RNA (433 nucleotides) under uncultured bacterium. RNAcentral's name for it is "partial 16S ribosomal RNA". It matches the Rfam family "Bacterial small subunit ribosomal RNA", at positions 29 to 507 of the family's 1533-position model. The record is from RNAcentral.
AACGAACGCUGGCGGCAUGCCUAACACAUGCAAGUCGAACGAUCCCUUCGGGGAUAGUGGCGCACGGGUGCGUAACGCGUGGGAACCUGCCCUUAGGUUCGGAAUAACUCAGAGAAAUUUGAGCUAAUACCGGAUAAUGUCUUCGGACCAAAGAUUUAUCGCCUUUGGAUGGGCCCGCGUUGGAUUAGCUAGUUGGUGGGGUAAAGGCCUACCAAGGCGACGAUCCAUAGCUGGUCUGAGAGGAUGAUCAGCCACACUGGGACUGAGACACGGCCCAGACUCCUACGGGAGGCAGCAGUGGGGAAUAUUGGACAAUGGGCGAAAGCCUGAUCCAGCAAUGCCGCGUGAGUGAUGAAGGCCUUAGUGUUGUAAAGCUCUUUUACCCGGGAUGAUAAUGACAGUACCGGGAGAAUAAGCCCCGGCUAACUCCGUG